Molecule: ribosomal RNA, 315 nt
Filed under: uncultured eukaryote
Lineage: Eukaryota
Description: partial 18S ribosomal RNA
Rfam family: Eukaryotic small subunit ribosomal RNA
Source: RNAcentral
CCCUUAGACGUUCUGGGCCGCACGCGCGCUACACUGACCGGUGCAACAAGCAUCCGUCCUUGGCCGACAGGCCCGGGCAAUCUUUGAACGCCGGUCGUGAUGGGGAUAGACUUUUGCAAUUUUUGGUCUUCAACGAGGAAUUCCUAGUAAACGCAAGUCAUCAACUUGCAUUGAUUACGUCCCUGCCCUUUGUGCACACCGCCCGUCGCACCUACCGAUUGAAUGGUCCGGUGAAGCCUCCGGAUUGGCGCGCACCUCGGUGCCGCCGAGAAGUUGGCUAAACCUUACCAUUUAGAGGAAGGUGAANUCGUAACA